This 263-nucleotide ribosomal RNA is filed under the name uncultured bacterium. Its description in RNAcentral is "partial 16S ribosomal RNA". It matches the Rfam family "Bacterial small subunit ribosomal RNA", at positions 793 to 1055 of the family's 1533-position model. The record is from RNAcentral.
GUCCUUGCCGUAAACGAUGUAUACUUGAUGUAGCUAGGCUCAACCCUGGCUGUGUCGAAGCUAACGCGAUAAGUAUACCGCCUGGGGAGUACGCUCGCAAGGGUGAAACUCAAAAGAAUUGACGGGGGCCCGCACAAGCAGUGGAGCAUGUGGUUUAAUUCGAUGCAACGCGAAGAACCUUACCCAGGCUCGAAAUGUAAUGGACAUCACCAGAGAUGGUGAGUUCCGCAAGGACCGUUAUAUAGGUGCUGCAUGGCUGUCGU